CAGCCAACCUUUUGGAAAGCACACUCCACUGCCCACUGGAUGUUUCUUUCUACUCCACUGUUUAUGGCCUUUUUGAGUGACACUUGAGACAUUCCUGCCAUGAUUGAUGCAUCAAAUUCCCAAGGAAAAUUCUCCCAAAAAGCAGCUAGCUAGCACCCUCCCAUCCACCCUCAAAAGUGUUUGGGUGGAGUCUUAAGUGCCAAAGGGGUGUUAAUUGGGGAUCCUGCCAAAGGCCUCUGCUUCCAUUUGCAUACUUUUUUUGCAUAUCAAAGAUGGGAUGACUUUUU
This 287-nucleotide small RNA is filed under the name Oryza sativa Japonica Group (Japanese rice). Its description in RNAcentral is "sRNA Os08g0252050". The record is from RNAcentral. Lineage: Eukaryota; Viridiplantae; Streptophyta; Magnoliopsida; Poales; Poaceae.